This is a long non-coding RNA of Symphalangus syndactylus (siamang), 2384 nucleotides long. RefSeq lists it as uncharacterized. The record is from RefSeq and is a predicted model, not a curated record. NCBI's taxonomy places the organism in Eukaryota, Metazoa, Chordata, Mammalia, Primates, Hylobatidae.
GCGGCUCUGUUCUCUCUCCUCGUUGCGCGCGCAUCCUCCGCGUCCCCCCGCCCGCCUCUCGCCUGGGGCCGUGUGGGGAGCGCUGCCCCGUCGCUGCCCAGCAGCCAGCUAGUGACCUGACGCCCGAGAACCCCGCAGAGGCUGGCCGAUCUAAGUGUAAGAGUCCUGGCUUGAUCUGUUCUCCUUCAUCCUGGCCUCAGUUUCCCUACAUGUAAACUAGACUCAACAACGCAUGACGGGGACACUUGUGGGGCGCCCGGUACACUACUCUUAGGUGGUGCCUCUCGCUGCCCAGGCCUUCUUCCAGAAGCCCACCCACCCAGGUCAGCGCUCUCGGAGGGCAGGAAGCGGUGCUCCCCAGACAGUAGGGAAGGCUGCCCGCUUCACAAUGGACUGAGCUCCAGCCUGCCUCCCUUGGAGACACGGUCUCCUCUGUCGCCAGGCUAGAAUGCCAUCGCACAAUCACGGCUCACUAUAGCCUCAAGCAAUCUGGCCUCUUCAGCCUCUUGAGUAGCUGGGACUAGAGGCAUGCACCACCACACAUGGCACAUGCACUCUUACCUCACUCUGACCUUGGCUCAACCCUCACCCCGACUUUGGAGAUAAACAGAGACUCCAACAGGGAUGAGUUGGCCCCAGGUCUUCCAGCCAGCAGGGGCGCCAAGCCUCCCCGAAGCCUCCCCUGGGCCCUACCUGCGCGAUGGAAGUCGUCUUUGCUGUAGGUGAAGUCUUUCAAGAAGGUGAUGCACUCUGUUUCGUGGUUAUAGCGCCUGGCUGUCUCCAGCAGCAUGAUCUAAGGGCGGCAGCGGGAGGGGGGGCUCGAACCCUGCGACCCUUCAGCUGCUAGUCCCUUCCCUCCUGGCCCAAAUGGGGGUCUAAUCUCACCAGGAUUAUCCCUUGUCCCCUUCCCCUGUUCUCUCAGCCACACCAGCGUGCAGCCAUCACGUGAGACAGCCCGAGCUCUUUCUCCACUUCAGGCUUCCGCACAUGCUGCAUCCCCAUCUCCUUAGGAUACUCGUUCCCCAGACUCUAUUCGCCGUGGAAUGUCAUCCUACAAGGGCAAGGACUGGUCUUGCUUAACUCUACUCCCAGCAUCUGUCCUGGAGCUAUCUCUGGGGUUCCUUGGGGGCAGAUGGACGAUUACCUCGAUAGUGGAUGCCUUCAAGAGGGCGAUCUGGUCCUCCCGGCCCAGCUGCAGGAAACCAGGCACUUGCUUGGCGAAGUCCACGAUCUCCUGGACUGAGAUGAUGGCCAGCUCCGUGAAGUGGGCGAAGCGUUGCUGGCGGGCAUCUCGGGACUGGGGGUCUGCGCCCAGGGGCCAGGGCUGGGACACAGGAGACCAGAGUCACUCCCAGGUCUUUGUGAGCCUAAGUCUGGGCGGCCACCUUGAUGCCAAGCCUGCACCCUGGGGGACCCUCCUCCCAAAGCUCCUGCCCUCUGGAGCCUCAUUCUCCCACACCCUGCGUGAUGGCCCAGCCGGCUCUACCCCAUCGGGACUGUCACACUCAAGGUUGUGGAGGGGGCAGUACCGUGACUUUGGGUUGGUCGGAGAAGGAGCGUUUGUUGCACUGCAGCUGGGCUGCCACCAACUGCUGGAUCAUUAGUUCUUGAGCCGCUGUUAACUGGACACCCUCGCCUUCCCCAGAGCCCUGGCUGCCUGCCUCAGAUCCACCAGGAGACGCCCCAGGCCCAGAGGCUGAGCUGCUGCUGCCCUGCGGCCCUGCAGGUGACUGCGACUGUGACUGUGACUGCUGCUGCUGCUGUUUCCGAAUCUUCUUCUUCCGGAUCUGUUCUUCAGAGAGGACGCCUGUAGGGGGAUGCAGGCCUCAGCAGAACCCCAGGGCUGGGCGGGGGGCCAGGCCAGCACCGCCCCCUCCCACUGCACUCACACUGCUCCCUCAUCCCUGCCUCCUUGCACUUGCGCAGCCGGCACUGCUGGCACUUGCGCCGCAUGAAAGCGUCCAUCUGGCAGGUUCCGCCACCCCGGCAGGCAUAGCGCCGAGCCCCGCCACGGACCACACUGCGCCGGAAGAAGCCCUUGCAGCCUUCGCAGCUGAGCACGUUGUAGUGGAAGCCGGAGGCCUUGUCCCCGCAGACGCGGCAAAGCUCGUGGCCCAGCAUCUUCGGGGCUGGGCCCUUCUUUCGCUUGCGCUCUGGCUCCUCUUCAGGAUCUGGGAUGACUGGGGUGGGUAGGUAAAGGCCAUGAAAGAGCCACAAGAAGAAACAGGAACCAGAGGGAUGAGCCCAUAGGAGAUCCCCGGGCAAAGCGCCAGAGGAUGGAGGGAGAGAGGAGUUGCUGCUCACAUUCAGGGAAAUUGCAAUUUAGAAAGAUGUAUAUGUUAAGGAGACAGCAAGAACAAUAAGCAAAGAUCAGGGGCCUCCCA